GACGGGGGGUGCAAGCGUUGUCCGGAGUGACUGGGCGUAAAGGGCGUGUAGGUGGUGUACCAAGUCUCUGUUGAAAGCCCGCGACUCAAUCGUGGACACGGCGGAGAAACUGUUACAAUCGACGAUACCAGGGGCAGAUGGAAUUCCCGGUGGAGGGGUAAAAUCCGUUGAUAUCGGGAGGAACACCAGUGGCGAAGGCGAUCUGCUAUGGUAUUCGUGACACUGAGGCGCGACAGUCUGGGGAGCGAAAGGG
Molecule: ribosomal RNA, 253 nt
Filed under: uncultured bacterium
Lineage: Bacteria
Description: partial 16S ribosomal RNA
Rfam family: Bacterial small subunit ribosomal RNA
Source: RNAcentral